CCUACGGGGGGCAGCAGUAGGGAAUUUUCCACAAUGGGGGCAACCCUGAUGGAGCAACGCCGCGUGCAGGAUGAAGGCCUUCGGGUUGUAAACUGCUUUUAUAUGUGAAGAUUAUGACGGUAGCAUAUGAAUAAGGAUCGGCUAACUACGUGCCAGCAGCCGCGGUCAUACGUAGGAUCCAAGCGUUAUCCGGAAUUACUGGGCGUAAAGAGUUGCGUAGGUGGCAUAGUAAGCGAGUAGUGAAAUCGUGUGGCUCAACCAUACACCCAUUACUUGAACUGCUAAGCUAGAGGAUGAGAGAGGUCACUGGAAUUCCAAGUGUAGGAGUGAAAUCCGUAGAUAUUUGGAGGAACACCGAUGGCGUAGGCAGGUGACUGGCUCAUUCCUGACACUAAGGCACGAAAGCGUGGGGAGCAAACGGGAUUAGAUACCCGUGUAGUC
Molecule: ribosomal RNA, 441 nt
Filed under: uncultured bacterium
Lineage: Bacteria
Description: bacterial SSU rRNA
Rfam family: Bacterial small subunit ribosomal RNA
Source: RNAcentral